This 994-nucleotide long non-coding RNA is filed under the name Felis catus (domestic cat). RNAcentral's name for it is "lncRNA (ENSFCAG00000046062.2)". The record is from RNAcentral. Lineage: Eukaryota; Metazoa; Chordata; Mammalia; Carnivora; Felidae.
UCUUUUCUUUUCUUAUGUUUAUUUGUUUUGAGAGAGAGAGACAGAGUGUGAGCAGGUGAGGGGCAGAGAGAGAGGGAGACCCAGAAUCCCAAGCAGGCUCCAGGCUCCGAGCUGUCAGCACAGAGCCCGAUGUGGGGCUCAAACCCACGAACUGUGAGAUCAUGACCUGAGCUGAAGUCAGACACCUAACCGACUGAGCCACCCAGGCGCCUGAGCCUUCCCCAAAUUCUGAGUCUACUCCUCCUAUACAGUCCUUCCAGUUCUGAAGCCCUCAUCUGGGGCCACACAUUCCGUCCCCCUUUGCACAUUGUCUGUGCACCCUUCCCUUUGACAAAGCCUGGAGAAAUUAUUUUCUCAUGUCACAGAUGGAAGCCUUGCUCCUCUCUUCAUAUAUUCCAGAGUUACUGUGCCCACCUUGAGUAAUUUCUACCGAUCACAUUUUAGGAUUUUGAAUCUCAAAACCAUCUUUCUGCUGCCACAUCCUUUAUUCAAGGCACUCAAUGAACAGCCUAGUUUAAAGAGAACCAAAUGAUGACAGAGCUGGAAACAAAAUUAGCUAUUUCAAAAGCAUUCCACUUCAAUCUGUCUUUCCUCCUUCUCUCCCUCCAGUUCUUGAAACAUCCACAUAUUCCCAUGAUCAUAGUGCAAAGCAGAAAGUCUCCAGAGCCUUACGGCAGGCACAGAUGAAAUGCGGAUGCAGACGAAGGAGAGAACACUGUCAGCUUCUGAAGAAACCUUGAAGGAUUGGGAGUUGGACACGACCCAGGAAAGGGCACUCCUGGUGGAAAGAGCAGCCUGGAGCCAGGCAGGGAGCAGAGAAGCACACAUCCACAGCAACUAUAGCUAUAUGUGGCUGUGCUACGACUCCUUCGGUCACAGAAUGUUGUGUGUACCAUACUGCCUGUGCAGUCAUCGUCAGCCAAAAAACAUAGGAAAGACUACCAGUGAGAACCACCUUGCCAAGUUCACUCAACACGAGAAUCAUGAGAGAUGA